UACGUAGGGUGCAAGCGUUAAUCGGAAUUACUGGGCGUAAAGCGUGCGCAGGCGGUGAUGUAAGACAGGUGUGAAAUCCCCGGGCUUAACCUGGGAACUGCAUUUGUGACUGUCAUCGCUGGAGUGCGGCAGAGGGGAUGGAAUUCCGCGUGUAGCAGUGAAAUGCGUAGAUAUGCGGAGGAACACCGAUGGCGAAGGCAAUCCCCUGGGCCUGCACUGACGCUCAUGCACGAAAGCGUGGGGAGCAAACAGG
This 253-nucleotide ribosomal RNA is filed under the name uncultured bacterium. RNAcentral's name for it is "partial 16S ribosomal RNA". It matches the Rfam family "Bacterial small subunit ribosomal RNA", at positions 524 to 776 of the family's 1533-position model. The record is from RNAcentral.